Molecule: unclassified non-coding RNA, 381 nt
Filed under: uncultured Pseudomonadota bacterium
Lineage: Bacteria; Pseudomonadati; Pseudomonadota
Description: uncultured proteobacterium contains 16S-23S intergenic spacer region
Source: RNAcentral
UCCGGCUUGUCGCCGGCGGUCCCUUUAGAGUGCCCAACUUAAUGAUGGCAACUAAUGAUAAGGGUUGCGCUCGUUGCGGGACUUAACCCAACAUCUCACGACACGAGCUGACGACAGCCAUGCAGCACCUGUCACCGGUCCAGCCGAACUGAAGGAAUCCAUCUCUGGAAACCGCGACCGGGAUGUCAAGGGCUGGUAAGGUUCUGCGCGUUGCUUCGAAUUGAACCACAUGCUCCACCGCUUGUGCGGGCCCCCGUCAAUUCCUUUGAGUUUCAGUCUUGCGACCGUACUUCCCAGGCGGCGAACUUAACGCGUUAGCUUCGAUACUGAGUGCCAAGUUGCACCCAACAUCCAGUUCGCAUCGUUUACGGCGUGGACUAC